Non-coding RNA from Dipodomys ordii (Ord's kangaroo rat), 71 nucleotides. The record is from Rfam. NCBI's taxonomy places the organism in Eukaryota, Metazoa, Chordata, Mammalia, Rodentia, Heteromyidae.
GGUAAGGUGGCUCAGUGGUAAGAGUACUUGCCUUGCAUGCAUUUGGCCCUGGGUUCGAUUCCUCAGCACCA